UGGGAGCGGAUGCUGCUGGCUCCCCAUCCAGCCGCUCUCCCCGUCCGUGGCCUCUGUUUGCUGCCUCUGUUUAGUACCUCUGUUUGCUGAAUUGGCCAGGUCGAUUGAUGUGGUUCCAAGUUUAGGAGAGAAUUUUGUUCACAGUGAUAGGACAUGGUGAUUUUGAUGACUCACCUGAUCUUAUUCUGACAGAAGAUUUCAGUGGUGUGAAUAAUGCUGGUAUGGGAGACUUAACACGAGUUUCCUUCGUAAGGAGGUCAAAAUGGAGUGAGUGGUUUUUGGAUACAUGGUGGAACCAGACUUCAUUUAUACAGUUUGGUUCCACAAAAAGUGGAGAUAAUGCAGCACUCAAGCAUCUAAUUGAUCACCUAUCAGCUGAAGAAAUGCAAGCGCAUGUUCGAAUAGCAAAAAUGCAGUGCCUCUUCAAUUCCUACUCUUGGGUCCUCACAUGGAAGUCAGGUUGGCCAAUUAACUGACUAUCUCUGUUUGCAACUGGUAGAUGGACAGGGCUUCGAUUCUUGGAGACGCAAUUGAGUACCUGAAGGUGUAACUUCCCAGAAGUCAUCGGAGGAAGACAAGGCAGAGGCAAGUUUUGAGCCAUCAAAAUCAAUGCUUCUCCUGGGAAUCCAUAGGAGGAAAAUGAGGAGAGUGUCAAGCCAUCGGAUAAUGUUGUUACUCUAGAGAAGCUAUUGGAAGAAGAUGGGGCAAGCAUGGAGCCAUCGGAAGACAAUGAUGCUCUUGAGGAACCAAACGAAGAAGAAAAGGCGACUCACAAGCUG
RNA transcript from Panicum virgatum (switchgrass), 779 nucleotides. RefSeq lists it as uncharacterized. NCBI's taxonomy places the organism in Eukaryota, Viridiplantae, Streptophyta, Magnoliopsida, Poales, Poaceae. The transcript has 3 exons. The record is from RefSeq and is a predicted model, not a curated record.